GACAGAGGGGGCAAGCGUUGCUCGGAAUCACUGGGCGUAAAGGGCGCGUAGGCGGGACGGCAAGUCGGUCGUGAAAUCCCUCGGCUCAACUGAGGGGGGUCGGCCGAUACUGCCGUUCUUGAGGGAUGCAGAGGAGACUGGAAUUCCCGGUGUAGCGGUGAAAUGUGUAGAGAUCGGGAGGAACACCGGUGGCGAAGGCGGGUCUCUGGGCAUUCCCUGACGCUGAGGCGCGAAAGCGUGGGGAGCAAACGGG
Molecule: ribosomal RNA, 253 nt
Filed under: uncultured bacterium
Lineage: Bacteria
Description: partial 16S ribosomal RNA
Rfam family: Bacterial small subunit ribosomal RNA
Source: RNAcentral